GGGGCUGACUAGGUUUCGACGUGGGUUGCAAAGCAGUGCAGGGCAUACCGAGGCCUAGUCACCUCGUAAAUAAACUAGAAAAAGUAUAGUCGCAAACGACGAAACUUACGCUCUAGCUGCUUAAUCCAGCUGGACGCUGCACCAUCUCUCCCGUGGGGUGGGUGGCCUUAAAAACCAUCGCAGCGUCAUAAACACGGGAUACGUGAUGUGUUGGGUUACUUAGCACUUCAUUAACCUUAAGGUAGCUCGCUUAUUUCUUGCUUGCUCGUUGGUGUGGAAUAAGUUAAAUAAAACAACACAGCUAAGUAUGUAGAACUGUCUGUGGAGGACUUGCGGACGGGGGUUCGAUUCCCCCCAGCUCCACCA
Molecule: transfer-messenger RNA, 366 nt
Filed under: Methylophilaceae bacterium
Lineage: Bacteria; Pseudomonadati; Pseudomonadota; Betaproteobacteria; Nitrosomonadales; Methylophilaceae
Rfam family: transfer-messenger RNA
About the family: Bacterial tmRNA, also known as 10Sa RNA or SsrA, is named for its dual tRNA and mRNA-like properties.
Source: RNAcentral